AAAUUUCCCGGACGUAGCGUACC
RNAcentral lists this non-coding RNA (23 nucleotides) under Arabidopsis thaliana (thale cress). Lineage: Eukaryota; Viridiplantae; Streptophyta; Magnoliopsida; Brassicales; Brassicaceae. The record is from RNAcentral.